CGCCAGCAUGGGAAGAGGCCGGCGGCUUGNACCGCGGCAACAAAAGGAAGGCAUGUUGGAGCGGGUGAG
RNAcentral lists this unclassified non-coding RNA (69 nucleotides) under Mus musculus (house mouse). RNAcentral's name for it is "partial derived from hnRNA or mRNA fragment, or novel small non-messenger RNA without known sequence-or structural motifs". The record is from RNAcentral. Lineage: Eukaryota; Metazoa; Chordata; Mammalia; Rodentia; Muridae.